GAAGCGUGGGGCGGUGGCGAGUCCCUGCUCGCCGCGGUCCGCCGCCGGCGGGGGCCUCGGCUCCUGCCCCCACGGAAAUGCCGGCCGUGGCACCGCCCGCGUCCCGCUCGGUUUACCGGCCCGUGCAAUGGGUCGAGGUCGUGCGCCACCGGACCCAGAACAGGGCGUUUCUUCGGCACGCACUGUCAAGCGCCUCCUGUGCGCAAGGCGCGCGAGUGGAGGGCGCCGGCGCCGGGGCCGGAAAGCCAGCACUUGGUGGACACUUUGAACCGUGCUCCUGGGCUGAGGCCCGUUCCCCCGGGCUAGCUUCUCGAGCCCUGCCUCGUGCCAGAGGUUUCGAGGACCGUGCUUACCCCUACUGUGCACCACCUGCUGUUGGGCGCCCCGGGGGAGGAGAAACGUGGACCCCGAGCCCCAGGACCUCCUCUCGUUCUCCGGAGGGAGAAGCCAGUAAACUGAUGAAAAUGACCCUAAGCGUCACUAUAAGAUUUGGAUCUCUCUGGCUCCGCGCAAGGAUUGGACUCAGGGACUGGGCAGAGGCAGGACUCCGGCAGGCCGUGCUGCAAUAGCCCAGUCUGCUCGCGUCCUGUGAGUACCUGUCACAUCCACAGUGCACACUUCUGUGUUCCAGAACAAGAGGAUUCACGGAAGUCACUCCUGCAUUCCCAGAGCCUGCCACAUGGUGGCAGCAUAU
This is a long non-coding RNA of Suricata suricatta (meerkat), 694 nucleotides long. RefSeq lists it as uncharacterized. NCBI's taxonomy places the organism in Eukaryota, Metazoa, Chordata, Mammalia, Carnivora, Herpestidae. The transcript has 3 exons. The record is from RefSeq and is a predicted model, not a curated record.